ACCGUUCAGGGGUAAACCUGAGAAACCUAAAAGAUCGAAUGGGGAGAUUCAUCGUCAAUGCGUUCAGUAUAUGUGCAGGUUAUGAUAUGAGUUAUCCUUGGAUAAUACUUAUACGUUCUUGUACAUUUUACUGCUGAAUGUCGUCGGCGUGCACUUCUCCCCUAGUAGGACAUCGCGACCCGUUGAGUGUCGUUCUAUGGCUCGAAUGGUAGUCUUUAAUUUUUUUAAAAUUGAAGACCUUCGGUGACCUGAUCGGCUGCUCGACGGUAAUAACAUACGGUAUUGAGUCGCAAAAUAUUUUUGCGUCUGGCCCGUCGCAAGCGCGGUGAGUAUCUCGGCAGUGCGGAUUUAAUGCCGUCGUUGAGACUGACCAGCUGUUGGUUGUACGGUGUUCUUAGACUGAUUCAAACAAUAAUUACCGGUCAGCGAUGCUACUGCUUUGGGUACUUUCAGGACCCGUCUUGAAACACGGACCAAGGAGUCUAACAUGUGCGCAAGUCAUUGGGAUUUAUUUUUAAUAAUUAAACCUAAAGGCGCAAUGAAAGUAAAGGUCGUCCUUGUGUCGACUGAGGGAGGAUGAGUUACAUUACGAUGUGAGCUCCGCACUCCCAGGGCGUUUCAUUCU
This 625-nucleotide ribosomal RNA is filed under the name Neoneurus mantis. Its description in RNAcentral is "eukaryotic LSU rRNA". It matches the Rfam family "Eukaryotic large subunit ribosomal RNA", at positions 404 to 777 of the family's 3401-position model. Lineage: Eukaryota; Metazoa; Arthropoda; Insecta; Hymenoptera; Braconidae. The record is from RNAcentral.